This 21-nucleotide non-coding RNA is filed under the name Caenorhabditis elegans. Lineage: Eukaryota; Metazoa; Nematoda; Chromadorea; Rhabditida; Rhabditidae. The record is from RNAcentral.
UGACGUUGCCUAAAAUUCACA